UGGGACUGCCGGUGACAAACCGGAGGAAGGUGGGGAUGACGUCAAGUCCUCAUGGCCCUUAUAGGUGGGGCUACACACGUCAUACAAUGGCCGGUACAGGAGGGUAGCCAACCCGCGAGGGGGAGCCAAUCCCACCAAAAGCCGGUCGUAGUCCGGAUCGCAGUCUGCAACUCGACUGCGUGAAGUCGGAAUCGCUAGUAAUCGCGGAUCAGCAUGUCGCGGUGAAUACGUUCCCGGGUCUU
This 242-nucleotide ribosomal RNA is filed under the name uncultured Allobrachymonas sp. RNAcentral's name for it is "uncultured Brachymonas sp. partial 16S ribosomal RNA". It matches the Rfam family "Bacterial small subunit ribosomal RNA", at positions 1144 to 1382 of the family's 1533-position model. The record is from RNAcentral. Lineage: Bacteria; Pseudomonadati; Pseudomonadota; Betaproteobacteria; Burkholderiales; Comamonadaceae.